RNAcentral lists this ribosomal RNA (636 nucleotides) under Triticum aestivum (bread wheat). RNAcentral describes it as "partial small subunit ribosomal RNA". Lineage: Eukaryota; Viridiplantae; Streptophyta; Magnoliopsida; Poales; Poaceae. The record is from RNAcentral.
AUGAUGAUGGAGAUGCUGUGGAGAAGCCAUUCGAAGAAGGAUUGGCCGGUGUUGCCGGCUGGCGUCAAGUUCGAUCCCACGGAUCAGGAGCUGAUCGAGCACCUUGAGGCCAAAGUGAGUGCUGACAGCGCGAGAUUUCAGUCUCUCAUCGAUUUGUUCAUACCAACCAUCGACAGCGAGUACGGCAUAUGCUACACCCAACCUGAGAAACUUCCAGCACAAUUCCAGGGCGUUCAAAAGGGGCACGUGGACGCGUCGCAAGAUACAGUCGGAGUGCGGCAUGCACGCGAUGUGGCACAAGACCGGCAAUACCUUGCCGGUGAUGGUCAACGGCCGGCAAGAUGGGCAGCAAAAGAGGUUCUGGUGCUGCACACCAACAAGAACUUCAACCAGCAGAGGACCAACUGGGUGAUGCACCAGUACCACCUCGGGGACCUGGAGAAAGAGAAGGAGCGGGAGCUGGUCCUCUGCAAGAUUUUCUACCAUACGAACACUAGGGCCAGGAGUAAAAAGAUUAUAAGUUUGUUUGGUAUUGGUAGUUGUAUUACCUUGUCAUCCGCAAGUUGGUUGAGCAAGUUUCAACUGGGCUGUAGACUGCCCAGGGUUGGUUUUGUUUUUAACAGGCCCAGCCCAUGA